AGUGAACGCUGGCGGUAGGCCUAACACAUGCAAGUCGAACGGCAGCACAGUAAGAGCUUGCUCUUACGGGUGGCGAGUGGUGGACGGGUGAGGAAUACAUCGGAAUCUACUUUUUCGUGGGGGAUAACGUAGGGAAACUUACGCUAAUACCGCAUACGACCUACGGGUGAAAGCAGGGGAUCUUCGGACCUUGCGCGAUUGAAUGAGCCGAUGUCGGAUUAGCUAGUUGGCGGGGUAAAAGCCCACCAAGGCGACGAUCCGUAGCUGGUCUGAGAGGAUGAUCAGCCACACUGGAACUGAGACACGGUCCAGACUCCUACGGGAGGCAGCAGUGGGGAAUAUUGGACAAUGGGCGCAAGCCUGAUCCAGCCAUACCGCGUGGGUGAAGAAGGCCUUCGGGUUGUAAAGCCCUUUUGUUGGGAAAGAAAAGCAGCAGGUUAAUACCCCGCUGUUCUGACGGUACCCAAAGAAUAAGCACCGGCUAACUUCGUG
Molecule: ribosomal RNA, 492 nt
Filed under: uncultured bacterium
Lineage: Bacteria
Description: partial 16S ribosomal RNA
Rfam family: Bacterial small subunit ribosomal RNA
Source: RNAcentral